RNAcentral lists this unclassified non-coding RNA (248 nucleotides) under Ascomycota sp. Its description in RNAcentral is "partial contains small subunit ribosomal RNA, internal transcribed spacer 1, and 5.8S ribosomal RNA". The stretch from base 1 to 47 matches the Rfam family "Eukaryotic small subunit ribosomal RNA", at positions 1785 to 1831 of the family's 1831-position model. The record is from RNAcentral. Lineage: Eukaryota; Fungi; Ascomycota.
AAAGUCGUAACAAGGUCUCCGUAGGUGAACCUGCGGAGGGAUCAUUACAGAGUUCAGGCCCCUCGGGGCAGAUCUCCCACCCUUGUGUAUUUAUACCUCUGUUGCUUUGGCAGGCCGCUGGGUUUCGACCUGGCCACCGGCUCUGGGGCUGGUGUGCGCCUGCCAGAGGACCCCCAAACUCUGGUUAUCAGUGUCGUCUGAGUAUUAUACAAUUGUUAAAACUUUCAACAACGGAUCUCUUGGUUCUG